GCAGUCGAACGUGAAAGUCUCCUUCGGGGGAUGGGUAAAGUGGCGAACGGGUGAGUAACACGUGGGUAAUCUACCUUGGUGUCUGGGAUAACAUCUCGAAAGGGGUGCUAAUACCGGAUAAGACCACGGCCUCCUUGGAGGCUGAGGUAAAAGGAGGGGGCUUCGGUCCUUCGCACCUUGAUGAGCCCGCGUCCCAUUAGCUAGUUGGUGAGGUAACGGCCCACCAAGGCUACGAUGGGUAGCUGGUCUGAGAGGAUGAUCAGCCACACUGGAACUGAGACACGGUCCAGACUCCUACGGGAGGCAGCAGUGGGGAAUAUUGCGCAAUGGGGGAAACCCUGGCGCAGCAACGCCGCGUGGGUGAUGAAGGCUUUCGGGUCGUAAAACCCUGUCAGAGGGAAAGAAACGGUUUGUGAGGAAAUGCACAAGCCCUGACGGUACCCUCAGAGGAAGCACCGGCUAACUCCGUGCCAGCAGCCGCGGUAAAACGGGGGGUGCAAGCGUUGUCCGGAAUUACUGGGCGUAAAGGGCGUGUAGGCGGCACAUCAAGUCAGAUGUGAAAUCCCUCGGCUUAACCGGGGAAUUGCAUUUGAAACUGGUGAGCUAGAGUACGGUAGAGGGAAGGGGAAUUCCCGGUGUAGAGGUGAAAUUCGUAGAUAUCGGGAGGAAUACCAGUGGCGAAGGCGCCUUCCUGGACCAGUACUGACGCUGAGACGCGAAAGCGUGGGGAGCAAACAGGAUUAGAU
RNAcentral lists this ribosomal RNA (746 nucleotides) under uncultured bacterium. RNAcentral describes it as "bacterial SSU rRNA". It matches the Rfam family "Bacterial small subunit ribosomal RNA", at positions 57 to 783 of the family's 1533-position model. The record is from RNAcentral.